RNAcentral lists this ribosomal RNA (338 nucleotides) under Mycobacterium terrae. RNAcentral describes it as "Mycolicibacter terrae bacterial SSU rRNA". It matches the Rfam family "Bacterial small subunit ribosomal RNA", at positions 189 to 528 of the family's 1533-position model. The record is from RNAcentral. Lineage: Bacteria; Bacillati; Actinomycetota; Actinomycetes; Mycobacteriales; Mycobacteriaceae.
AUGUUCUGUGGUGGAAAGCUUUUGCGGUGUGGGAUGGGCCCGCGGCCUAUCAGCUUGUUGGUGGGGUGAUGGCCUACCAAGGCGACGACGGGUAGCCGGCCUGAGAGGGUGUCCGGCCACACUGGGACUGAGAUACGGCCCAGACUCCUACGGGAGGCAGCAGUGGGGAAUAUUGCACAAUGGGCGCAAGCCUGAUGCAGCGACGCCGCGUGGGGGAUGACGGCCUUCGGGUUGUAAACCUCUUUCAGUAUCGGCGAAGCUCCGUGGUUUUCUGCGGGGUGACGGUAGGUACAGAAGAAGCACCGGCCAACUACGUGCCAGCAGCCGCGGUAAUACGU